UUACUGCUAUCGGUGUUCGCCUAAGCCAUGCGAGUCAUAUGUUCUUCGUGAACAUGGCGUACUGCUCAGUAACACGUGGAUAACCUGCCCUUGGGACCGGGAUAACCCCGGGAAACUGGGGAUAAUACCGGAUAACGCAUAUCUGCUGGAAUGCUUUAUGCGUAAAAUGGAUUUGUCUGCCCAAGGAUGGGUCUGCGGCCUAUCAGGUAGUAGUGGGUGUAAUGUACCUACUAGCCUACGACGGGUACGGGUUGUGAGAGCAAGAGCCCGGAGAUGGAUUCUGAGACAUGAAUCCAGGCCCUACGGGGCGCAGCAGGCGCGAAAACUUUACAAUGCGGGAAACCGUGAUAAGGGGACACCGAGUGCCAGCAUCAUAUGUUGGCUGUCCAGAUGUGUAAAAUACAUCUGUUAGCAAGGGCCGGGCAAGACCGGUGCCAGCCGCCGCGGUAACACCGGCGGCCCGAGUGGUGAUCGUGAUUAUUGGGUCUAAAGGGUCCGUAGCCGGUUUGGUCAGUCCUCCGGGAAAUCUGACGGCUCAACCGUUAGGCUUUCGGUGGAUACUGCCAGACUUGGAAC
Molecule: ribosomal RNA, 576 nt
Filed under: uncultured euryarchaeote
Lineage: Archaea; Methanobacteriati; Methanobacteriota
Description: bacterial SSU rRNA
Rfam family: Archaeal small subunit ribosomal RNA
Source: RNAcentral